Lolium perenne is the source of this 2619-nucleotide long non-coding RNA. RefSeq lists it as uncharacterized. Lineage: Eukaryota; Viridiplantae; Streptophyta; Magnoliopsida; Poales; Poaceae. The record is from RefSeq and is a predicted model, not a curated record.
GUGUUUAAGCCUUUUUGACCCACCGCUCGGAUCAGGCGGUCAAAGGGGAUUGCGAAGGUGCGACCUGGGAUAAUCCCGUCGGCCUCCUCCCCUGAUCCCCAUGCUGCCCUGCAUCAAGCCAGCACCCACGGCCGGCGACUCAGCGGCGGCCGGCGGCUUGGUCCCUCCGCGGAGGAGGAGGGAAGGUGGGGGCACGCUACCAUGUGCCGACCGCCCAACCCGCCACCGCGAGCACCCGCACCCCGCAGCAACGGCUCGCUGCCCCAGUGCCCCAUGCUCGAGGAGGAGUAGAAGCCCUGGACGUGUCAGGUUGCGGAGGCGAUGGCUGACGGAGCCGCGUCUGGUCGGCCCGGGUCGUGGGCGAGGCCGUCCAAGACAGUACUGCUGGAGCCCCUGAUCCUCUCGGAGGCGGGUCUGUGCGACAUGGACGCCGAGGGCAGGUACUCCACCACCACAGAGGCCAUCGCCGCCGUGCAGGCCACCCGCGCCGCACGGUCAUCCAGGCGUUCGCUGGUGUCGGCAUCGACUUGAUCCAAUUCGCCGCCAUGCACGCACCGCUGCACUCAUGCCACUUUGUUCUUUCAGGUGAUUGGAUAUUGUUCGCUGAGGUUUUCUCUCUAAUUAAUUCCCGGGACAACACGAUUUUUCUACAACAACUAUAUUAGUGUAGCCUGUCCUAUACGGGGUGUCACAACUCACAACGAAGUGCUCAGCAAACAGGAAACUAGAAGAGGAUUGUUUGUUCUGCAGUAAAUUAUCAUGCAUAUAAUGUCAAGUUACUCGCUCUAUGGCUGAAGCUAGAACAUCUAUGUGCAAUGCAAAUUUCAUCCCAGCUAUGACCCAUACAAUUCUUUAGAAAGGUUUUUGGACAUGGUUAUCUGAAAUUGCUCUGUGAGCUGCUCUAAACAUCUGAGUAUUCUUGCAUGUUAGUGUAUUGCUCCACUUUGGCUCUUAGCUUCUUACUUUCCACUUUGUGAUCAAAUGUAGUUGCCUUCUCUUAUGCAGAUGAACGGGACCAAAACUUAGGAAAUAAGAGUUUGGUGAAAUUUGGAUUUUUAGAUGAAAAGCACCAUGUGCCCAUAUUUAACAUUGAGAUCGAGUUGCAAAAGGAGAAAGAGAGUAAAAUAGCACAACUCAUGCUGACCUAUAAUAACUAUUUUUGACACGCGAAAGAAUAACUGGAAGGAAAACAAUGGUAGCAGCACCAAGUUCUAUAUGGCGCAGAAUGUUCAAUAUAAGGCCUGGACGGUUGAACUUGUCCUUUUAGCUGAUGAUAAUGUAUUACAAUGCUUCAGUAGAUUUUCAUCUCAGACGGACAUACAGAAACCCACUUAUAAGUUAGUACAAAAUAUAUCAAGGCUGAUGAAUGUUAUUGCAUGACUUCCUUCUAAUCAUGUUGUUUAAAAUAAGAGGAUGGAGGUCUAAUCUAUAGAUUAGUAUUAUAGUUUUGUUCAAUGAUUAAUUCUUGCACAUCCUCCAGUUAUGAUAAUAUUGCACUGUCUCAGCAGGAAAGAUGAAUAGCUUCACAAGAUUCCCAUCUUGAGAAGCUAUAGAGGCAAGUGCUGGCGAUCUCCAUGCGUAGAAAGGAAAACUAACUCACUACCAAAGUUAUGCCCGUUGAUACUAAAUCUAGCAUAUUUAGCUACGUACUUAAAUUUGAUAUUUGUAGUUUUGUAUUCGCCGACAUUUGUCAUGUUACUUCACUUUUAUUUUAAUAAAAAAACUUUUUUGGAUAUUUGUUACCAAACUGUAGAUAGGUGUUUCUGAGACAGGAGCAUUAAAAAAUAAGCUUCAGUUUUACUUAAGUUUGGUUGUAGUGGAAGAUUAAAACGAAGGGAGUCUUCUAUGAAGUGAUUCAGGCCCUACGUUGUUAUCCAUAGACUAUUCCUAUUUUGGUUCUACCAUUUGUUAUAUUAGAAGAUAUUUCCUAAUAUUCACAUGUUGCUACAUUUUUCAUUUACUUUACGAAGUUGGCCUUUUCAUUUGCUCUUGGGCUGAUUGUCUUUUUGAAGGUAUCUUUUAGUUGAUGAAGCAGUCCAACUGUUGAACUUCAUCAGUAUCUAGCUGCUAUAACUCCCUAAGAUAUCUUUUUUUUAUCAUUUAAUCUUCUUGGUGCUGUUUAUGUUGUAGUUGUCUUCUUAAUUAUUUUCACCUUAAUAAUUGUUAUUUUCUGCAGCCCUUUGCUCAUAUUUGAAAUCCUUCUAUAGAUUAUGAAUUGAUGAAGAACCAUUCUUUUGCACGAGUCAUUGGUACUUCUCCCCAAGGUCAAGUGCUGGAAGGACGGCAAACAAAUUCAGGUUGGGCUGUUUUGCAUCUUCCGUACUCAUGCUUUUCACACUAUUUUCAGGUGCUCUACCAUUCAUAUUAUUAACAAACUUUGUUUAUUUGUGAGCCUAAUCAGGGUAAGUAAUUACUUUAGCUAAAUUUCAGGGUCUUGCAGCACAUAGGAGAGUGCAAAAGUUCACAUAAAAGAAUAGAUAGUUUAAUUCUUCACUCAUAUGUCUGUACUAUUUUGCAAUGGUAAAGAGACAACGAUGUGUUUGCUACAUCAGAGGAUUCAUUAUUAUCGAUGGUGCCUAUUGCAAUCAAUCAAUAUAUUUUCCUUAUAGUAUCAUUUCA